Molecule: non-coding RNA, 109 nt
Organism: Otolemur garnettii (small-eared galago)
Lineage: Eukaryota; Metazoa; Chordata; Mammalia; Primates; Galagidae
Source: Rfam
GAAAUGGAAUAGCAUUUUAUAUACUAAAACUGGAAUGAUACAGACAAGAUUAUUAGCAUGGCUCUUGCACAAGGAUGGCAGACAACUUUGUGAAAUCUUCCAUUUUUAA